GAUGAACGCUGGCGGCGUGCCUAAUACAUGCAAGUCGAGCGAACAGACGAGGAGUUUGCUCUUCUGACGUUAGCGGCGGACGGGUGAGUAACACGUGGUUAACCUACCUAUAUGACUGGGAUCACUUCGGGAAACCGGAGCUAAUACCGGAUCAUAUAUUGAACCGCAUGGUUCAAUAGUGAAAGACGGUUUUGCUGUCAGUUCUAGAUGGAUCAGCGCCGCAUUAGCUAGUUGGUAAGGUAACGGCUUACCAAGGCAACGAUGCGUAGCAGACGUGAGAGGGUGGUCGGCCAGACUGGAAGUGAGACACGAUCCAGACUCCUACGGGAGGCAGCAGUAGGGAAGCGGCCGCAGUGGGCGAAAGCCUGACGGAGCAGCGCGGCGUGAGUGGUGAAGGUGUUCGGAUCGUGAAGCUCUGUUAUUAGGGAAGAACAAAUGUGUAAGUAGCUGUGCACGUCUUGACGGUACCGGAUCAGGAAGCCACGGCUAACUACGUG
RNAcentral lists this ribosomal RNA (497 nucleotides) under uncultured bacterium. RNAcentral describes it as "partial 16S ribosomal RNA". It matches the Rfam family "Bacterial small subunit ribosomal RNA", at positions 28 to 507 of the family's 1533-position model. The record is from RNAcentral.